This 87-nucleotide transfer RNA is filed under the name Candidatus Woesebacteria bacterium. Its description in RNAcentral is "tRNA-Ser". It matches the Rfam family "tRNA". Rfam says of the family: Transfer RNA (tRNA) molecules are approximately 80 nucleotides in length. The record is from RNAcentral. RNAcentral also lists the same sequence under 2 other names. Lineage: Bacteria; Candidatus Woeseibacteriota.
GGAGGGUUGGCCGAGUGGUUUAUGGCGCACGCCUCGAAAGCGUGUGGGCGAAAGUCCGCAGAGGUUCAAAUCCUCUACCCUCCGCCA